GCGUAAAGGCCUGACUUUCUGGAAGGGCUGCAUUUAUUAGAUACAGAGCCAGGCCCCCUUGUGGGGAUUUCAUGGACGAUUCAUAAUAAACGUGCGGAGCGCAUGACAUGCGUCGGCGCUGCUUCAUGCGAGUUUCUGACCUAUCAGCUUUCGACGGUAGGGUAUUGGCCUACCGUGGCAUUGACGGGUAACGGAGAAUUAGGGUUCGAUUCCGGAGAGGGAGCCCGAUAAACGGCUACCACAUCUAAGGAAGGCAGCAGGCGCGCAGAUUACCCAAUCCUGACACAGGGAGGUACUGACAAGAAAUAACAAAGCAUGCCGCUAUGCGGUUUUGCGAUUGGAAUGGAUUAGAUUCAAAACCCUUUUUGACUAUCGAUUGGAGGGCAAGUCAGGUGCCAGCAAGCCGCGGUAGUUCCAGCUCCAAUAGCGUAUAUUAAAGUUGUUGCGGUUAAAAAGCUCGUGAGUGUGGUUUUCUGUCGGUGCCUGCCGGUCCCGAACAUUGUUCNGUGCAUCCGGUCCAGCCUCGGAAUUCNCUUCGGAAGCGUGCUUGUCAUUUAGUUUGAUGAGGCGUGACCGAGGACAUCCACUUUGANGAAAUUUAGAGUGUUUUACGGGAAAGCAUGCGCUUGAAAUAACAUNAGCAUGGGAUAAUUUAUNCAGGGACCUUUAACCCUAAUUUUUUGGGUCCCUAGGANCAAGGUAAUGGGUAUUAGGGAUAGCUGGUGGGCAAUCCA
Molecule: ribosomal RNA, 734 nt
Filed under: Uncultured marine alveolate Group II DH145-EKD3
Lineage: Eukaryota
Description: bacterial SSU rRNA
Rfam family: Eukaryotic small subunit ribosomal RNA
Source: RNAcentral